Molecule: long non-coding RNA, 533 nt
Organism: Spinacia oleracea (spinach)
Lineage: Eukaryota; Viridiplantae; Streptophyta; Magnoliopsida; Caryophyllales; Amaranthaceae
Exons: 2
Source: RefSeq, a predicted model, not a curated record
CGCGUCUCAUUUUAACUACAACUCUAAACUCUGCGAGUCUGCUCUCUCCUCUCAUUCCUUUUAUCUCGUUUCUUUCACCCUCGUUCUCUCUCCUGAAAUUCUCCCUCAUUUACUCCAUCUAUGGCAAACUGAUUUCAGGCAUGGAUUCAAGCAAUGUCUCUUCAUUUUAAUGGAAUUAUUAUUGUUCUGCUCAAGGGCAAGUAGGAGAAACUGCUCUGAAUGAUAAAAGUUCAAGAUCACAUCAGAUACUGAGACUGGAAUUAAUAUAUUUUACUGCACAUUGUGCUUAAUUGCGGUUGAAGUUGAUCUUAAUCGUUUAAUUCUGGUGUGAUACCUGCUUGAAAUGUUUGCAUGAAUUGUAAAUUUUCUGCAUUUUUCACUGUGAUUUUGAUACGGAGUAGUAUUUUGAAACUUUUAUUUAUUGAUAACCCUAAUUUUCGGUAUUAGAUGUGAGUGAUUGAUAUUUGUCUUCAAUUUGAAAGGUUGUUUAAGCUUAAAUAUAUCAUUUAUACUAUUGAUUGAUUUCCCCCUCG